ACUGGGGUGGCAGAGCAUGGUAAAUUUGCGAAAGGCCUAAGCCCUUUAAACCGGAGGUUCAAAUCCUCUCCCCAGUU
This 77-nucleotide transfer RNA is filed under the name Labeo cylindricus (redeye labeo). RNAcentral's name for it is "tRNA-Leu". It matches the Rfam family "tRNA". Rfam says of the family: Transfer RNA (tRNA) molecules are approximately 80 nucleotides in length. Their secondary structure includes four short double-helical elements and three loops (D, anti-codon, and T loops). The record is from RNAcentral. Lineage: Eukaryota; Metazoa; Chordata; Actinopteri; Cypriniformes; Cyprinidae.